UCUCUCUCUCACUUCUGCAAAGUCUCUCUCACACUAACUCUCGAGCUCUCGAGUUCUCUCUCAAGCCCGAGAGUCUCAAACCUCACUACCACCUAAAGUUCUUCAAAAAUCAAACCCCGAACCUAUAUUUUCGAGAUUAAUGGAACUCAGGGAACUUGGUGAUGAUCUUGCAUGCACCAUCAGUGCACCAUGAGGUGCAGUUCCAUUGAAAUCCGAGAGCUCCGAGCUCUAACCUUAAACUCAGCGAAUUCUGGCAAUUUCCGUUGAAUUCAAGAGAAAGAGGACGAACUUCGGCGAGUUUAAGGUCCAUUUCUUCCCAAAACUUGCUGCAAUGCAUCUGGUUUCCAACGACAUUUUUUUUGAGCAAUAAACGUCGAAUCCGAACUGGAUUUGACCUCUCCUUCUCCUAAACCAGUUUUAGAUUCCAGCACCGGCGAACGGCGGAGGUCAUUAGUUUUGACGGAGGCGUCGACGGUUCCUCAAAAGAACAGUAGUGUGAUGGAAUUGUCUAUAUUAUUAUUUUCACAGAACUAGGGUUACAGCUUUAUACACAUAUUACAUAUCACGAUCCUAUUCUACUGCC
Molecule: long non-coding RNA, 583 nt
Organism: Pyrus x bretschneideri (Chinese white pear)
Lineage: Eukaryota; Viridiplantae; Streptophyta; Magnoliopsida; Rosales; Rosaceae
Exons: 4
Source: RefSeq, a predicted model, not a curated record